AUUAAAACUCAUCCCAAUCAUCUAAUUUACCUAUCAAUUCUAACAAACCAAAAGCCCCAAUUAUCAACACUUCAAUGAAAGAACUUCAACCCUUUGCCUAUAAUGUCCAAAGAUACUACCUAAAUACACUCAUACAUGAAGAUAUUAGAAUGCAGGGCUAAAGUGAGGUAUCAGCACCCACUUGCCCCAUAAUUAAAUAACAGGUCCACUUUGUCAAUCAUUAUUGAAGAAAGGCACAUUAUAGACAUAAAAAAAGAGAAAAGAGCCCUAUUAGACAACAACAUAACUUAAAAACAGAGGAAUCUACCAAGGGUAAAGAGAUAGGGAACACAUGCUUCAAAGUAUCCCUAUACAUAAGAAAACGUAUGUAGGCACAUAGAAGUCAAUUGGUCCAAGACUUGGAGUGGUGUACAGAUGAAGAAAUUAUUUUGGUGGUCUGUUUGGAGUACAUUAGAAGAAGAAUUUGAAUAUCAAUUAAAGACAAUAGGUUCUGCGUCUGAACAAGCUGCCAAAGAUUUGUUAUGUUAUCCACCACAACAUUGAUGCAGGGCCUAUUUUGACGCAGUCUGCAAAAACUUCUCAUGUGAAAAUAAUUUUACUGAGUCUUUGAACAAACGGAUUUUGGAAGCAAGGGCAAAACCAAUAAUUCAAGAUGUUGAAAGACAUUAGAAGCAAAACCAAAAAUUCAAGAUGUUGAAAGACAUUAGAAUCAAGGAAAACAAGUUCUUCAAAAUGUGCCGGUGUCAGCACCCCAACCAAGUGAAGAAGCUGAAUCAAUCUUUAUGCCAACUCCUGAAUUUGUUUCAUCUUCUAAUCAAUAAACAAGCCAAAAAUCAAGUCAGGUAAUUAAUGAAGCUCAUAUUGGUCCUUCAAAUUUAAAGAGAAAAGUAAAGGAAAAAGAUUUUUUUUGGUUCUGAAGUAAAGGACAAAGUUGUUGCACCUUCAAAGAGGUCUAAAAAUAGUGCAAAAAAGAAAACAUUGUUACUGCAAUUGUUGAUGAAGAUGAAGUUGAAGGUGAUAUUGAAUAUGAGGAUGAUGAGAUAGUGGUUGGGCCUAGGGUGAUAUCUGAAGAAAAGACUAGACUUCAAAUUAAGAAGUUGCAUCAACAACCAAUUGGUUCAAGAAAGAUUAACUUCAGGGGUGAUGAGAGUGGUGCUAGUAUGCCUACUAAUCUGCCACACUCAUCAAAAAAGCUGACCUGAAAAGGCAAAACAUGUGUGCCUCGAAUCAAUUGACAAAAGAAAAGGAGAUAAAAAUUGAAAAACUAAAAGCAAAGAGGGGCAAACAUUGAUAGUGAAUGUUAAGUUGUGAUUUUUAGUUUUUGUUUGUUAUGUAAUGGCAUAGUGAAGUUUUUUAUUUUGCUAUUUUUUGGAUGCUUACUGUUUGUUACUAGCCAUGUAUGUUAAUUACAUUUUAGUCUUGUGAUUGUAAAACAAAGUGAGAAUGUUUUGUGGGCUGAAAAAUAUAUGAAUGCAAUUGGUAAUUUAUCUAUAAAAUGUCUUGUGAG
Long non-coding RNA from Solanum dulcamara, 1507 nucleotides. RefSeq lists it as uncharacterized. Lineage: Eukaryota; Viridiplantae; Streptophyta; Magnoliopsida; Solanales; Solanaceae. The record is from RefSeq and is a predicted model, not a curated record. The transcript has 3 exons.